UCAAGAAAUCCAGACGAGUUGGCGAUAGUUCUCGUUGAUGACAAAACCAAUAAAGACAAUGUUGACAUCAAAAUGGAUGAUACCAACGUGAGUGAUAUUGACGACAUAUUUAAUUCAUCUGCACCAGAAUCUUCUAGUGUUGAUGAGGAACCAGUUAUUACUAUUGAUAUUUAUGAUCCAAGCAAUUGGGGUAAUCUUGAUAAUAAAGCAAGGGACAUAUUAGUGGAGAAGGGGCCUAAAAGGGAAGAAUAAACUACUAAAUAUCAUUUGGAUGAAAAUUUAAGGAAUUUUUCGUAUAGCCAUUACUCAAGAAAAAUGAGCAAUGUAGAGGUGUGUGAUAGAAAAUGGUUAGUUUAUUCCAAACAACGAAAGGUGUUUUGUUUUUGCUGUAAGCUUUUCAAUUUUGACAAAUGCAAGAGUUCACUGGGGCAUGAUGGGUUUUGUGACUGGAAGCAUAUUAAUGAGAGACUGAAAGAACAUGAAGCUAGUGUUGACCACAUUACCAACAUGAACUGUUGGAAUGAACUAAGAACUAGACUGAGCAAGCAUGAAACAAUUGAAAAAGAGUUACAACAACAAAUCACAAAGGAGAAGGAACACAUAAAGCAAGUUUUAUUAAGAAUAGCUGCAGUUGUGAAAUUUCUUGGUAAGCGCAAUUUGGCUUUUAGAGGAUCCAGCCAACAACUUUAUGAUGAUUCCAAUGGUAUUUUCUUAGAUUGUGUCGAGAUAAUUGCAGAAUUUGAUUUGAUUGUCAAAGUUUCCAAAUAUUUCUCUGUUACCUUUGAUUGUACCCCGGAUGUGAGUCACCAAGAACAAAUGAGUUUGUUGGUUCGAUGUGUUCAUAUGUCUGAUGGUUAUGACGAUGGUUCCAAUAUGAAACGAAAGUACAAGGGUGUGCAAAAUCGGUUGCUUGAGGUAAAUCCAAGAGCUUUAUAUAUGCCACGUGCUUGCCACAGUCUUAAUCUCACGAUUUGUGAUAUGGCCAAAUCCUGUGUUAAAGCUAUGUCAUUUUUUGUAAUUGUGCAACAAAUAUAUGUAUUAUUCAGUGGUUCUACUAAAAGAUGGAAAGUUUUUGUUAGCCAUAGUAGGAUCAAAAGUGUUAAAGCAAUUAGAUUUCAGUAUCCCAAGAUAAGAUCAGCUUUGCUUGAGUUAUGUGAAGAUAGUGGUAUAGAACCUAAAGAUAGGAGUGACGCAAAAAUAUUGUUUAAAGUGCUUGGCAGCUAUGAGUUUAUACUUGGUAUGUCACCAUCCAUGUGCAUUGAGGUUGCCUAAACACAAAUAGAUGGUGUGAAGAAUUACUUUAACACUUAUAGAAAAGAAGGGUUUCUUUCUAGUAUGACUAUUGCUAAAGAAAUCGCAGAUGAAAUGGGUGUAGAGCCAUCAUUACCAGUAAAGCAUCAUGCUUCUAGGAGGAAAAAGUUUGAUGAAGAUGGCAGUAAUGAAGCAAUUUUGGAAGCUGAGAAGGAUUUUGAAGUUAAUAAUUUUUUGAUUAUGGUUGACAAGGCAAUAACUUCACUGGAAAUAAGAUUUGAUGAACUCCAAUCAUUCAAAAAUAUAUUUGGAUUCUUAAUGAGUUCAAUGACCUUGAAGUCAUUGGGUCGUUCUGAACUUGAAGAUUUGACUAAAUUUGCAAAUUCUUUCUCUUUGGAUGGUUCAUCUGAUGUUGAUUUGAAUGAUCUGCUUUCUGUGUUGAACGUUAUGCAGUCAACUUUGCCUAAUCCAAUGCCCGCUAUGGAGAUUUUUGAGUUAGCCAGUGAAGCAGAUUGUUAUCCCAAUAUUUAUAUUGCAUAUCAGAUUUUAUUGACUAUGCCCUUGACCGUGGCAUCAGCGGAGAGAAGUUUCUCAAAGUUGGAAUUGUUGAAGAACUACCUAAGAUCCACAAUGUCACAAGAGAGGUUAAAUGGCUUGGCAACUUUGUUCAUUGAGCAGGAAUUGCUUGAUGAAAUUGAUAUUGAUACUAUCAUUAGCAAUUUUGCAUCUCGGAACGUUAGAGGGAAUUCUUGA
Molecule: ribosomal RNA, 2004 nt
Filed under: Triticum aestivum (bread wheat)
Lineage: Eukaryota; Viridiplantae; Streptophyta; Magnoliopsida; Poales; Poaceae
Description: partial small subunit ribosomal RNA
Source: RNAcentral